GUCCACUUCACUGCAGAGCCGACCUGCACACGGGGCCAUCUGGGUCCCACAGCGGAGACUCAGCACAAGCCCGAGUCCAUGGCACCAGGAGGCGGCUGUGGAGCUGUUGCCGCGGAGAGGUGUUAGGACAGCUGAUUUUACAGCCUGACGCUGCCUCUGUGAUUCCUUACCUUCCUCUUGACUGUGGGUGGUGCCAGAACCUCCACAGAGUGGCCAGUUUGCUUCACCCGAGGAACUGCCUGACCAGCAAGGCUGGGGCCACCCCUGAGAGCACAGCCAUCACCAGCAAGAGCCUGCCUUGUAGCCUGCCAGGGAAGCACUCUUGCUGUCUUAAAUAAUUCUAUGAAGAUUCUAAAGAGCAGAGUGAGUACCAAGCAGUUUUGCUGGGAAACUGGGUCUGAGUCUUAUGUGCUGUGUGAAGGCAUUCCACACAUGGUGAGUGAAAAGUCCAUGAAGAGAUAAAUGCACAUGCGGCAAGAACCUCACACCUUUACUACUAAGUCUAGAAGAUGAGACCGCUGACAUGAGUUGAGCUUCAAUUUCUCCAACUUGCAUUGUACUGUGACAAGAAAUGUGGUUCUGUGUGAUGGGCAUGUGAUACUGACAUGCUUCUUCUCUGGCACAUCAGGACAAUUCAAAGAGGAGCCAAUAAAAACUAGCAAAAUAUGUAAUUUGAUUCUUUUGAAAUAUCUGUCAAUGUCUGAGGAAGACACAGAGUUGCAGGCAGCACUAUGUCAUGAGACAUCAUGACCUUUAUCUUUGCUUGGGUUAUUCCAAUAAGGACAUGGUAAGGCACAGUGUCUUCAAUGGAAAAACAGAUGUCUCCUAGUCUAUUUUCUCAUUUACUCUUCACAAGGAAUAUCAUAGGUAUGUUCUCACGCCGUGGCUAUGUGCCUAGCUUUGGGGCCAGGCAAACAGUCUUCAGGUCAAAGCUAAAGAUUUUGGAGCUGGG
Molecule: long non-coding RNA, 952 nt
Organism: Heterocephalus glaber (naked mole-rat)
Lineage: Eukaryota; Metazoa; Chordata; Mammalia; Rodentia; Bathyergidae
Source: Ensembl